Molecule: ribosomal RNA, 257 nt
Filed under: uncultured bacterium
Lineage: Bacteria
Description: partial 16S ribosomal RNA
Rfam family: Bacterial small subunit ribosomal RNA
Source: RNAcentral
UACGAAGGGGGCUAGCGUUGCUCGGAAUCACUGGGCGUAAAGGGCGCGUAGGCGGCCGUUUUUUAAGUCGGGGGGUGAAAAGCCUGUGGCUCAACCACAGAAUGGCCUCGAUACUGGGACGCUUGAGUAUGGUAGAGGUUGGUGGAACUGCGAGUGUAGAGGUGAAAUUCGUAGAUAUUCGCAAGAACACCGGUGGCGAAGGCGGCCAACGGACCAUUACUGGACGCUGAGGCGCGAAAGCGUGGGGAGCAAACAGG